CGAUUCGUUCCUUCACCAUUGGCCUGUACCCGUCGAUCCCUCUCCGAUUCCACUCUUCUGAUCUUCCGGUUCUUUAAACCAGAUACAGGAUAUGGGUCUUUGGACACUACUGGAGGGGUGUCUGCUUAUUGCAAAUGCAUUAGCAAUAUUGAAUGAGGAUCGUUUUCUUGCACCUAGAGGAUGGAGCUUCCAAGAGUAUUCAGGGGUGAAGAGAAAUUCCCUCAAGGGACAGAUCAUUGGUCUCAUUUAUGCCACCCAAUACUUGAGGGUUAUAUUGUUAAUCCUCAACUCCCUUUGCAUUGUUGUAAAGCUGGUUUCCGGAUGAUUAUCCAAAAGUAAGUCAUUCUGCAAUGUCUUAUUGAAUAGCUUAACACAGCUUUCAUAAUCAUAUUCCUUUUAAUUUGUAUUUUUCUCUUUUGUAGUUUCUUGUCUUCCUGUGUAAAUUAGCAUUGAGAACCCAUCCAUUCCAGGAAGAUGUACCAUUUUGACUUUUCAGAUCAAGAAUGUAGUUGUGGUGUGUCAUUGAAGGCUGGACCUAGUCACAGAAAAUUCAAGUGGAUUUUCUUGAAAGGACAAUACUGCUGGCAAAUAAACUUUUGUUAUAUAGUGGCUUUGAUUGUCAAGUACAUGCAUUUAGUUGGGGUAACAUGUUCCGGUUAGUGGAUUGAGUUGUUAUGGCCUCUUUGAAAACUUACAGUUAAGAUCUGACUGGGUUCCUAGUGCUAUAUCAUCUUCGUAAGGUUGCAA
Cynara cardunculus var. scolymus (artichoke) is the source of this 747-nucleotide RNA transcript. It is a transcript of the gene named immediate early response 3-interacting protein 1-like, with no coding region annotated. NCBI's taxonomy places the organism in Eukaryota, Viridiplantae, Streptophyta, Magnoliopsida, Asterales, Asteraceae. The record is from RefSeq and is a predicted model, not a curated record. The transcript has 3 exons.